RNAcentral lists this transfer RNA (72 nucleotides) under Araneus ventricosus. RNAcentral's name for it is "tRNA-Glu". Lineage: Eukaryota; Metazoa; Arthropoda; Arachnida; Araneae; Araneidae. The record is from RNAcentral.
UUCCCACUCCGGGAAUUGAACACUGGCCUCCUGGGUGAGAGCCAAGUAUCUUAACCUCUAGAUCAUGUGGGA